CGGCACGGGUGAGUAACACGUAUCCAACCUGCCGUCUACUCUUGGCCAGCCUUCUGAAAGGAAGAUUAAUCCAGGAUGGCAUCAUGAGUUCACAUGUCCGCAUGAUUAAAGGUAUUUUCCGGUAGACGAUGGGGAUGCGUUCCAUUAGAUAGUAGGCGGGGUAACGGCCCACCUAGUCAACGAUGGAUAGGGGUUCUGAGAGGAGGGUCCCCCACAUUGGAACUGAGACACGGUCCAA
This 238-nucleotide ribosomal RNA is filed under the name uncultured bacterium. RNAcentral's name for it is "partial 16S ribosomal RNA". It matches the Rfam family "Bacterial small subunit ribosomal RNA", at positions 100 to 334 of the family's 1533-position model. The record is from RNAcentral.